UCCUGGCUCAGGAUGAACGCUGCGGCAUGCCUAAUACAUGCAAGUCGAACGGAUAUCUUCGGAUAUGAGUGGCGAACGGGUGAGUAACACUAGGGAACCUGCCUGCAUGAGCGGGAGAACUUCUGGAAACGGAAGCUGAUACCGGAUGAGCAAAGAGGAGGCAUCUCUUUUUGGAAAAGGGGACAAGAGUCCCGCAUGCAGAUGGACCUGCGGUGCAUUAGCUGGUUGGAGAGGUAACGGCUCACCAAGUCGACGAUGCAUAGCCGGCCUGAGAGGGCGGACGGCCACACUGGGACUGGGACACGGCCCAGACUCCUGCGGGAGGCAGCAGUAGGGAAUUUUCGUCAAUGGGGGGAACCCUGAACGAGCAAUGCCGCGUGAGCGAGGAAGGUCUUCGGAUCGUAAAGCUCUGUUGCCGGGGACAAAAGGCAGAAAGAGUGGAAAGCUUUCUGAGUGAUGGUACCCGGCGAGGAAGUCACGGCUAACUACGUG
RNAcentral lists this ribosomal RNA (492 nucleotides) under uncultured Allobaculum sp. RNAcentral's name for it is "bacterial SSU rRNA". It matches the Rfam family "Bacterial small subunit ribosomal RNA", at positions 17 to 507 of the family's 1533-position model. The record is from RNAcentral. Lineage: Bacteria; Bacillati; Bacillota; Erysipelotrichia; Erysipelotrichales; Erysipelotrichaceae.